Long non-coding RNA from Brassica oleracea var. oleracea, 1058 nucleotides. RefSeq lists it as uncharacterized. The transcript has 6 exons. Lineage: Eukaryota; Viridiplantae; Streptophyta; Magnoliopsida; Brassicales; Brassicaceae. The record is from RefSeq and is a predicted model, not a curated record.
GACGCUGGUGACGCAAAAAAUAACAGCGUCUCAUUUUGUCCAUAUUUUCUCUCCUCUGUGGCUGAAAAACGGUUAAAAGCAGCGGAUCCUGCGUCGAUUCUUCCCUAGCUUCCGUUAAAUUUUGUGACGCUCAUCUCGAUCGCAGCGUUUGACUAACGAACAGGGCUAGUGUAGAAAAUUUAUGGUUUUCACCACCGUCUCAUAAAAUUUACGGUCUUACUAUGUAGAUGCUUUGAGCAAGUUCCCCCACACCAACAGGAUGCUUUCGCGCAACGCCAAGCUUCUAAAACGCAACAUAAGUUAAACAUGCUGAGGAACACACAUCAAUGAGACAUCAUAACUCAGCUGCGCAAGGCGGUGUAUCAAAUGACUGCACCCCAGUCAUUUGCUUCUGGUCCUCACCUAAUUACAUGGUUCCCGCAUUGUUAUAGCAGAUAGAUCUUGCCACUAGACACGGUACGACACGCGAUAACGAGCAACGCGGCUUCCAAUUCGUGCCUUCAAUGCAUAUGCUUCCAAAAUCUCAACUCCACGUUAGUAACAAAAUUUUAAUUACAUUCCUUUGCAUGAAUCACUCAAACAACAAAAGCAGGGAAAUGGGAGCUGGUUAGGGAUGUUUACUAUGGAAUGGAGAAUUCGUUAGGGAUGUCUUAGAUGCAGCAGAUUGAAGGUUCAGCAUCUGCUGCCCGCAAGUCCAUGAGCCACCAUCACCCUUGAAAGAUCUUCUCGAGACUCCUAGCUUCCAAAUCAAAAUCCAUGUUGCCAACGUUGCAGGAUUCAUGGCCAUAACUACCACCAAGUCGCCUCCCUUUUACCAGUUGACGGGAAACAAUGAAUUAGACAAUAGGAGGAAAGCGCUAAGGGGUCAACCAUCCACAAAUAUGAUUCCAGAUGAAAGAACACAUUAUACAAUAAUAAUUUAGUUAAAUUAGAUGAUAUAAUUUAAUAAUAAAUAUAUUUCAAGGAAAAAAAAAGAGGAUGGAGAAAAUGUACUUACAAUAUUUUUCAGAUUUUAUUAAACUCAUGCCAAAGAGAUAAAAUAGUGAAUUUGGUGAAAA